This 1119-nucleotide long non-coding RNA is filed under the name Chloebia gouldiae (Gouldian finch). RNAcentral's name for it is "Erythrura gouldiae (Gouldian finch) lncRNA (ENSEGOG00005018086.1)". Lineage: Eukaryota; Metazoa; Chordata; Aves; Passeriformes; Passeridae. The record is from RNAcentral.
AUGGGCACCGGGCCCCGGCAGCGCCGCGGGAGCUGCUCCCGCACACAGUGCAGUCACCCAGGGCUGGGGGGACGAAGGGGGCUGCCCAGGGUAGCAGCAGGCCAGAGCAAAGGUCUAAUGCAUUUUGGGGGGGGUCUCACCUUCACUGCCCCCCCAUCUCUUCCCUGCAGAGGCCCCAGGGCAGAGCCCAGUGCUGGGGGGGGCGGCCAGCCCCACUUUGGCAGGGUGAGAUCACUGCACGGGGGGCAGCGGAGGUGGGGGGUGCCCGCCCCGGCUCUCUGCCGUGAUCCCCCUUUCCAUGGGGCGGCCCCAAAGCCCAGGGCUGGGGAGGGGGAGCUGGGGCAGGUGCCCCCCCCGGGCGGGGGCUGCGGGGGCCGCCCGGGUUGGGCCAUUUUCCAGUGCUGCCGUUGUUUGAGGGUGAGGAGGGAGCAGAGGAGGGAGGAGGAGGAGGAAGCCAGGGCGGCACAGUGGGUCUCUCCCCACCCCUCUCCCCCGGCCGCUGCGGGGCCGUCGGGCGAUGAGGUAGCGCCGGGUUCGGGAGGUGUCACUGCUCCUCCUCGGAUGACUCCUGGGAAAUGUUCACCUCCUCCUCGUCCUGCUGCUGCAAGGCAAGGGAGGGUGGCCGGGGGGGGUGUCAGGGAGCGCAGCCCCACUCCGCUGCCCCCGCACCAAGGGCUGGCCAGGCACAUCACACCCCUUGUGCAGCGAGGGAAACUGAGGUACAGCCCCGUCCUGGGUUCAAGGAGCGGCCCUGACUCCAGCUUGGAGGUGAAAUCCCAGGUGAGAAAUGAGGAGGGGAGACCACAGCCCCACCAACACCUCUGGAGCCGGGUCCCCAGUGGCCACCGAGGGUGGGGGGGGUGGUGGCAACCACGGCUGUCCGUGUCCAGCCCCGGUGUCCCCGCACAGCCCCCAGCCGGGGCGGGCGGCCGUGACCCCGCACGCGGCGCUGACUCAGGGCUGAGGCAGCCUGAGUCACGCCGGCCCCCGCUUCCUCCCGCUCCAUUCACAAAAACGCCACCGCGCCUGCCAGAGUGGGACAGCGAGUCCUGGCACGGCACAGGCGCCUCCCACAGCCCCCCUGCUCCGGGGGUCCCCACAGAGCCCCCAGCACGGUGA